UAAAAAUUGGAAAAAAUUGCAAUAGGGUCCCCUAAUUUUGGAUUUUUAGUAGACUUUACCAUAUCCUACAGUUUGUACUAGCGGAGGUUCCAAACCUUUGAAAAAUUAAUAAUUGAGGGAAAUUAUCCAUUUGACCGUUGGCCCAAAAAAAUUGAUUUUGACCAAAUAUAGUAAGGGCAGAAUGAUAAUUUUAUAAUUUUAACAUAAAAUAAUUUUAAAAACAAAAAGAAAAUAUAUAAAACAAUUGUUCACCUCAUUCCACCCCUAGAUAUAAAUAUAAUUAAAAAAAACUCGAGGUUCCCUGUUCAUUUCCCUCCUCACCCUAAACCAAAAACCGAUUCCAUGACCACAGCCUUCCCCACCUCCGCCUCCAUCCCAAAACAAAACCAAAAUUUACUUCAUCUCAAAUUCUUAUGCAUAAACAAAUGCAAAUAUAUAAAGAACUUACCAAUAUCCAAAUCUAAUUUUCACAUUGAAACACAAUAGUGCACUUGACUGUAUAAAUUCAAAGAAAAAACACAUAAACAUAGAUCAUAGAAUGAUCACUUUUUUGUACAAGUAAAAAAAGCCAAAGAUUGUGUAAUUAUCAAGACUGCUCAUCGAAGU
RNAcentral lists this long non-coding RNA (606 nucleotides) under Olea europaea subsp. europaea. The record is from RNAcentral. Lineage: Eukaryota; Viridiplantae; Streptophyta; Magnoliopsida; Lamiales; Oleaceae.